This 21-nucleotide non-coding RNA is filed under the name Caenorhabditis elegans. The record is from RNAcentral. Lineage: Eukaryota; Metazoa; Nematoda; Chromadorea; Rhabditida; Rhabditidae.
UGUUUUUCAUUUCAAUUCAAA